AGUAUGAAGCAAGACAAAUGAAAAAAAUCAUUUAGUUCAAACGGUGAGCGAAUGAGUCAGUGGAGUGAGUCACUAUAGUGGCGCAUCGUACCUAAGAAGUUAAAAAGACAAAGA
Long non-coding RNA from Bombus impatiens (common eastern bumble bee), 114 nucleotides. RefSeq lists it as uncharacterized. The transcript is spliced from 3 exons. The record is from RefSeq and is a predicted model, not a curated record. NCBI's taxonomy places the organism in Eukaryota, Metazoa, Arthropoda, Insecta, Hymenoptera, Apidae.